RNAcentral lists this ribosomal RNA (405 nucleotides) under uncultured bacterium. RNAcentral describes it as "partial 16S ribosomal RNA". It matches the Rfam family "Bacterial small subunit ribosomal RNA", at positions 30 to 526 of the family's 1533-position model. The record is from RNAcentral.
AUUGAACGCUAGCGGGAUGCUUUACACAUGCAAGUCGAACGAGUGGCGGACGGGUGAGUAAUAUAUCGGAACUUGCCCAGUAGCGGGGGAUACCUACUCGAACGAGUGGCUAUUCCGGCAUACUAUUGGAGCGGCCGAUAUCGGAUUAGCUAGUUGGUGGGGUAAAGGCUCACCAAGGCAACGAUCCGUAGCUGGUUUGAGAGGACGACCGGCCACACUGGGACUGAGAACCGGCCCAGACUCCUACGGGAGGAAGCGGUGGGGAAUUUUGGACAAUGGGGGAAACCCUGAUCCAGCCAUCCCGCGUGUAUGAGAAGGCCUUCGGGUUGUAAAGUACUUUUGGCAGGGAAGCGGUAACUGCAGAAUAAGCACCGGCUAACUACGUGCCAGCAGCCGCGGUAAUUC